This 1490-nucleotide ribosomal RNA is filed under the name Salmonella enterica subsp. enterica serovar Derby. Its description in RNAcentral is "partial 23S ribosomal RNA". It matches the Rfam family "Bacterial large subunit ribosomal RNA", at positions 690 to 2162 of the family's 2925-position model. Lineage: Bacteria; Pseudomonadati; Pseudomonadota; Gammaproteobacteria; Enterobacterales; Enterobacteriaceae. The record is from RNAcentral.
GGGCGUUAAGUUGCAGGGUAUAGACCCGAAACCCGGUGAUCUAGCCAUGGGCAGGUUGAAGGUUGGGUAACACUAACUGGAGGACCGAACCGACUAAUGUUGAAAAAUUAGCGGAUGACCUGUGGCUGGGGGUGAAAGGCCAAUCAAACCGGGAGAUAGCUGGUUCUCCCCGAAAGCUAUUUAGGUAGCGCCUCGUGAAUUCAUCUCCGGGGGUAGAGCACUGUUUCGGCUAGGGGGCCAUCCCGGCUUACCAACCCGAUGCAAACUGCGAAUACCGGAGAAUGUUAUCACGGGAGACACACGGCGGGUGCUAACGUCCGUCGUGAAGAGGGAAACAACCCAGACCGCCAGCUAAGGUCCCAAAGUCAUGGUUAAGUGGGAAACGAUGUGGGAAGGCCCAGACAGCCAGGAUGUUGGCUUAGAAGCAGCCAUCAUUUAAAGAAAGCGUAAUAGCUCACUGGUCGAGUCGGCCUGCGCGGAAGAUGUAACGGGGCUAAACCAUGCACCGAAGCUGCGGCAGCGACACUGGUGUUGUUGGGUAGGGGAGCGUUCUGUAAGCCUGUGAAGGUGGCCUGUGAGGGUUGCUGGAGGUAUCAGAAGUGCGAAUGCUGACAUAAGUAACGAUAAAGCGGGUGAAAAGCCCGCUCGCCGGAAGACCAAGGGUUCCUGUCCAACGUUAAUCGGGGCAGGGUGAGUCGACCCCUAAGGCGAGGCCGAAAGGCGUAGUCGAUGGGAAACGGGUUAAUAUUCCCGUACUUGGUGUUACUGCGAAGGGGGGACGGAGAAGGCUAUGUUGGCCGGGCGACGGUUGUCCCGGUUUAAGCGUGUAGGUGUGUGUUCCAGGUAAAUCCGGUUCACUUUAACACUGAGGCGUGAUGACGAGGCACUACGGUGCUGAAGCAACAAAUGCCCUGCUUCCAGGAAAAGCCUCUAAGCAUCAGGUAACAUCAAAUCGUACCCCAAACCGACACAGGUGGUCAGGUAGAGAAUACCAAGGCGCUUGAGAGAACUCGGGUGAAGGAACUAGGCAAAAUGGUGCCGUAACUUCGGGAGAAGGCACGCUGACAUGUAGGUGAAGUGAUUUACUCAUGGAGCUGAAGUCAGUCGAAGAUACCAGCUGGCUGCAACUGUUUAUUAAAAACACAGCACUGUGCAAACACGAAAGUGGACGUAUACGGUGUGACGCCUGCCCGGUGCCGGAAGGUUAAUUGAUGGGGUCAGCGCAAGCGAAGCUCCUGAUCGAAGCCCCGGUAAACGGCGGCCGUAACUAUAACGGUCCUAAGGUAGCGAAAUUCCUUGUCGGGUAAGUUCCGACCUGCACGAAUGGCGUAAUGAUGGCCAGGCUGUCUCCACCCGAGACUCAGUGAAAUUGAACUCGCUGUGAAGAUGCAGUGUACCCGCGGCAAGACGGAAAGACCCCGUGAACCUUUACUAUAGCUUGACACUGAACAUUGAGCCUUGAUGUGUAGGAUAGGUGGGAGGCUUUGAAG